Molecule: long non-coding RNA, 661 nt
Organism: Drosophila mojavensis
Lineage: Eukaryota; Metazoa; Arthropoda; Insecta; Diptera; Drosophilidae
Exons: 2
Source: RefSeq, a predicted model, not a curated record
AAUAGAAUGUUGCAGUGGGGUGUUACCAACUAGAGAAUACUCAUUCACAUCCCAUCAGCAAUUUAGCAGCUAAGUUUAGCUCUGAUACUGUAGAAAAUGCAGUUUUUCCCGAUUGGCCACGCCCCUACUACUCUACUCAUUUAUUACCAGUUCUUAAAACGAGCUGAAGUUAACGUGCCUGCAAAAUUUGGAAGCCUAUGCUCCAAAAAUAUGAAAAUUAUCCGCCAUAGCUUUUUAGUCUUGGGAGGUCAGCCCGAGUAUAUAUAUCAUAUUUCAGGUCUCUAGCAUCAAUACUGCCGAAUACCUAAAUUUGUACAAUGCGUAUUUGAACUACUGGAGUCUUGUUUGGAAAAUAUACGCAUAUCAUCGUUUUAAUCAUGAUCUCAAAAUUGCAUGAAGAUAUUCAUGCAAGUGUUGUUCCUUGAUUACUUUUCUUCUAAGGACUCCGGAUAGAGCAGGAUAGCUAUUAAAGUACAGAGAAGUAGAAAGAGUUUCAUGGAGCAAGAAUGGAACUGUUUUUAGAUGACUGUAGCUGAUUGAAUUUGUAAUGGUAUUAAAAUAAAUAUUUAAAUUGUUCUUACAUAAAACGCCAUUGGAAGACCAAAUUGCCAUCUGCCUGAGAUUAUAUAAGCAGAUAAUUAAAUAAAAGCAUUUAUUUCUA